GCAAGUGAUGAUUUGAAACAUUCUUCACUUUGACCUGAGUAUUCGGUGAUGAUAACAUUCACUCUGAGC
Small nucleolar RNA from Cyclopterus lumpus (lumpfish), 69 nucleotides. The record is from Ensembl. Lineage: Eukaryota; Metazoa; Chordata; Actinopteri; Perciformes; Cyclopteridae.